RNAcentral lists this ribosomal RNA (664 nucleotides) under uncultured bacterium. RNAcentral's name for it is "bacterial SSU rRNA". It matches the Rfam family "Bacterial small subunit ribosomal RNA", at positions 57 to 718 of the family's 1533-position model. The record is from RNAcentral.
GCAGUUGACGAGAUAAGUUGUAGCAAUAUGACUUUGAAAGUGGCGCACGGGUGCGUAACACGUAUGCAACCUACCUUUUACCGGGGAAUAGCCUCUCGAAAGAGAGAUUAAUACCCCAUAACAUAUAGUAUAGGCAUCUAUAUUAUAUUAAAGUUCAGGCGGUAAAAGAUGGGCAUGCGGUUGAUUAGUUAGUUGGUGAGGUAAUGGCUCACCAAGACUUCGAUCAAUAGGGGGUCUGAGAGGAUGUCCCCCCACACUGGUACUGAGACACGGACCAGACUCCUACGGGAGGCAGCAGUAGGGAAUAUUGGACAAUGGGCGCAAGCCUGAUCCAGCCAUGCCGCGUGCAGGAUGAAGGCCCUAUGGGUCGUAAACUGCUUUUGUACGGGAAGAAAACACACUACGUGUAGUGUGCUGACGGUACCGUGAGAAUAAGGAUCGGCUAACUUCGUGCCAGCAGCCGCGGUAAUACGAAGGAUCCAAGCGUUGUCCGGAUUUACUGGGUUUAAAGGGUGCGUAGGCGGACUUUUAAGUCAGUGGUGAAAGCCUGUAGCUUAACUAUAGAAUUGCCAUUGAAACUGAAAGUCUCGAGUGUGGUUGAGGUAACUGGAAUAUAUCAUGUAGCGGUGAAAUGCUUAGAUAUGAUAUAGAACACCAAUUGCGA